AUAGAACGGCAGCUCUGUGUUUUUAGCAAUUCAGAGAAUCAGAAUUACAAGGUUGCAAAAACUGUGAAGUUGUGAUCAUUUAAUGCUAACCGGUCCAUCUAUUAGUAACAGCUUAAUAGGCGUUGGUUAAGAACCUGGACGGCACCUUGCACUUUAAAACUCUAUUGUUAACCUAUGAUGAUGUGGGCAUACCAUACUUGCGAGACCACCAUCAUUCCAUGCUUGACCGCUGGCUCAAACUUUGUUAGGGAUUAAUGAGAACUUGGGGAGAUGAUGUGGCCGAUGCAUUACUGUUGCCAUAUCCAAGAUUCAUGGCAAUGGUUAUAAGAACAAUUCAAAUUCUGCAUCGAGAGGUACCGUAAUAAUCACCGACUGCAAGUGGGUUCAUCAUGUUUGGUUCCCAUUUAUUAUUCUGGUGGUGAUUGAGAAUUGAUUACACUGUGUGACUUGUGGUCCUAGGAUUCAUGGCAUCAUUUCAAGUCGGACAUGUUUUGAUUAUUCUUCAUUCAUACAUUCUGAUUCCUGUGUAGAAUUUGAGUUCUGACUCGCUCAACAUAGCCAAGCUUGUAAAGAUCAGGUUUGAGAAGAAAGUGUUACUGCACAGAUUAGGAUCGAAUACAACCACCAGAUGGUUGUAAAUACUGAUGAUACUUGAAAUUGAUGCGCACACGUUCAACACUCUCAAGUUGGAGCAUUCAAGAACACCAACUUGCUAAGAAAGGGAUGAAGGACUUACCUUCUCACAUGGUUUUAUUUUAAUUGUGUGAAUAAGGUUAAAAUUGAUUCUAUAAAGUUGAAAAAGAGAGACAAAUAAUUGUGGCCUUCUUAGAAUGAAACUUUUUCGAUCAGUGCCAGCCACCCCCCUCUUGUGUGAAUCAGCAAACAUUUGUGUCCUUUCUUUUCUACGGUGAGGCCCUGAGUCUUGCUUGACUUGAAAACAGUACAAUAAUUGAUCCCCAAGACAAAUAUCUGACCUGAGUACACAUAUUUAGUGAAUUCUUGCUCAAGGAGUAUGGAGGACCUGGAACAUUGUUGGUGGAUCCCUUCACUGAUAUGUUAGUUGCUCUCAAGGAGAAGGAACUACCUGGAGCACCUUUGGCUGCAAGGGCAACACUGUUAUGGGCUCAAAACUAUUUGGAUCAAGACAGGGAUGUUUGGAAUUCGAAAUCGUCAAAGUGAUAUUUCAUUUUGCGAAUCCAGAGAGUCUAAAUUUGACUUUGUAAUGUUGUAUUCUCCUGUAUAUAUAUAUAAAACUCACAAAAAUGGUGAAGACUGAAGAA
Molecule: RNA transcript, 1280 nt
Organism: Rosa chinensis
Lineage: Eukaryota; Viridiplantae; Streptophyta; Magnoliopsida; Rosales; Rosaceae
Gene name: protein PLASTID REDOX INSENSITIVE 2, chloroplastic
Exons: 2
Source: RefSeq, a predicted model, not a curated record